RNAcentral lists this ribosomal RNA (733 nucleotides) under Buttiauxella sp. 110518_136_C_A3. RNAcentral's name for it is "bacterial SSU rRNA". It matches the Rfam family "Bacterial small subunit ribosomal RNA", at positions 22 to 745 of the family's 1533-position model. Lineage: Bacteria; Pseudomonadati; Pseudomonadota; Gammaproteobacteria; Enterobacterales; Enterobacteriaceae. The record is from RNAcentral.
GCUCAGAUUGAACGCUGGCGGCAGGCCUAACACAUGCAAGUCGAGCGGUAGCACAGGAGAGCUUGCUCUCUGGGUGACGAGCGGCGGACGGGUGAGUAAUGUCUGGGAAACUGCCCGAUGGAGGGGGAUAACUACUGGAAACGGUAGCUAAUACCGCAUAACGUCUUCGGACCAAAGAGGGGGACCUUCGGGCCUCUUGCCAUCGGAUGUGCCCAGAUGGGAUUAGCUAGUAGGUGGGGUAAUGGCUCACCUAGGCGACGAUCCCUAGCUGGUCUGAGAGGAUGACCAGCCACACUGGAACUGAGACACGGUCCAGACUCCUACGGGAGGCAGCAGUGGGGAAUAUUGCACAAUGGGCGCAAGCCUGAUGCAGCCAUGCCGCGUGUAUGAAGAAGGCCUUCGGGUUGUAAAGUACUUUCAGCGAGGAGGAAGGCGUUGYGGUUAAUAACCGCAGCGAUUGACGUUACUCGCAGAAGAAGCACCGGCUAACUCCGUGCCAGCAGCCGCGGUAAUACGGAGGGUGCAAGCGUUAAUCGGAAUUACUGGGCGUAAAGCGCACGCAGGCGGUCUGUCAAGUCGGAUGUGAAAUCCCCGGGCUCAACCUGGGAACUGCAUUCGAAACUGGCAGGCUAGAGUCUUGUAGAGGGGGGUAGAAUUCCAGGUGUAGCGGUGAAAUGCGUAGAGAUCUGGAGGAAUACCGGUGGCGAAGGCGGCCCCCUGGACAAAGACUACG